RNAcentral lists this ribosomal RNA (433 nucleotides) under uncultured bacterium. Its description in RNAcentral is "partial 16S ribosomal RNA". It matches the Rfam family "Bacterial small subunit ribosomal RNA", at positions 29 to 507 of the family's 1533-position model. The record is from RNAcentral.
AACGAACGCUGGCGGCAUGCCUAACACAUGCAAGUCGAACGAGACCUUCGGGUCUAGUGGCGCACGGGUGCGUAACGCGUGGGAACCUGCCCUUAGGGUCGGAAUAACUCCCCGAAAGGGGUGCUAAUAGCGGAUAAUGUCUUCGGACCAAAGAUUUAUCGCCUUGGGAUGGGCCCGCGUUGGAUUAGCUAGUUGGUAGGGUUAAAGCCUACCAAGGCGACGAUCCAUAGCUGGUCUGAGAGGAUGAUCAGCCACACUGGGACUGAGACACGGCCCAGAAUCCUACGGGAGGCAGCAGUGGGGAAUAUUGGACAAUGGGCGAAAGCCUGAUCCAGCAAUGCCGCGUGAGUGAUGAAGGCCUUAGGGUUGUAAAGCUCUUUUACCCGGGAUGAUAAUGACAGUACCGGGAGAAUAAGCCCCGGCUAACUCCGUG